Long non-coding RNA from Chinchilla lanigera (long-tailed chinchilla), 745 nucleotides. RefSeq lists it as uncharacterized. The record is from RefSeq and is a predicted model, not a curated record. The transcript is spliced from 3 exons. NCBI's taxonomy places the organism in Eukaryota, Metazoa, Chordata, Mammalia, Rodentia, Chinchillidae.
GCCCCUGAUCAGCUAAAGGCGUGAGUUCGGAAGGUGGGGACCUAUCGCACAGGCCCAUGAGUGUGCGUGCUGUAUCGCAUGUUCAGGAGCUGCUGAAGGUUCCGGGUGAUACAGUGGAGGGUACUUUCCUGGAGCCACUAUGAAGUGAGCAGCUGUCCCUCUGCCAGGUCCCUCUGCCAUGCCAGCCUGCCUUGGAGUCAGCCCUGAAAUAUGCCAAGGCUGAUACUUGGAAGGCAAUGGAAAUGCCAGCCUGAGUGUGCUGGGCACCUGGGGACCCCGAACAGUAUCACAGGUAAAGGAGGGACAGUUAGGCCUUCACCAAGUUCCUGCCAAAGGUCUCCUCCACGGAGACCACAUUAUAGCCACCUGGCUGGACACACUCCAUGGCUGUGCUCUGUGUGUGGCACAUGCUGCCAGUGUGGCUGUGGACAGAGGACUCAGCUCACGCAGGACACCGUCUGCUGCACAUGGAGGCUGUGUGGGCCCAGACACCAAGUCUGGGUUAUUCCACAGUUGUUUUGCUCUGCUUCACAGUACUGACCUAAGAUUGAAGCUGAUACAGUCACCAAAUCCUCAGAAACAAACCACUCCAGUCUCAGAACAAAUUCUGGUGGUCAGAACACCGGCCCCAUCCAUUACUGUGGGCUUGUCAUACCCAGCAGGAAAGGAUUUUCGCACCUGGGGCCUCCCCGCAAGGCCUUGUACUCAGAUUUCUAAACCACUCUAAUAAAGAUGUUCAAAGUCA